CUACUACUCCCUCCGUUCCAAAUUAUUCGUCGCAGAAAUGGAUAUAUCUAGAACUAAAAUACAUCUAGAUACAUCCAUACCUGAGGCAAGUAAUUCGGAACGGAGGGAGUAGGUG
Molecule: non-coding RNA, 115 nt
Organism: Triticum urartu
Lineage: Eukaryota; Viridiplantae; Streptophyta; Magnoliopsida; Poales; Poaceae
Source: Rfam